GGUCCUAAGGUUGGAGAAGGACAUGAUGCAGAUGAGGCUGAGUUUGGACAGAGGCGGUGGCGGCCACGCGUCCGAAAAGAGUCCUGGAGUCAGCAGAAGUCAUGACGACUCCAACAGACAGGUCUGUGCUUCAUGAAUCACAACAAUGGAGCUGUGAUUUAAUUGGCUUAUUGUUCUCUGUAGUUUCUUCAUUACAUGGUUUUACAUGCAUAUUUUUAAGGAGAAGCAAAAGGCUGCCAUAGACGCUGAAAUAAGGGCAAGAAAACAAGACAAAGAGCAAAACCAGGGGUCUGCAGAGGUUAGUUUUAAAAUGACUCAAGUGUUUAAUCAAAUGUAAAAUGACACGUCAGGAAAUUGUGCUGGUGUUUUUACCUCCAGACACAGAGAAUGCUGUUGAAUCAAAUCGAGGAGCUGAAGCAGAGGCUCAGCCACGCCGUACAGAAUCACUUUGAGGCACAAGAGCGGCUGACUGAUGCUAACAAUAAGAUUAGUCAAGCAUGCCUGGAGAAAGCUGUCUUGUCAACUCAGGUGCUGAAGCUGGAAGAUAAAGUAAAAGACCUGAAGACCCAACUAACGGCGGCUCUGUCUGACAAACACAACCUGACCCAAGUAUCAUAUUCAUAUAAUUUUAUGAAGUAAUUAUAUUUUAUGUUUUAGAAGUAUUAUUUAGUUUCUCUGCGUGUGCCAUGUGUAGGAAAAAGAGACAGGAUCAGAGAAAGCAGAGGUCCACAGUAACGGGUCUCAUAAUGACAAAGAGGUUGGAAGAAAGGCUGAAAGCUUAAAAUAGAUCUAACAUAAUUUCUACAUCAAAUGAUCAUGCUUUUGUUUUUACACAAGGUAAAUGAAAAGCUGUCACAUGAACUUGGAAUCAUCCAGAAGAAGCUGGCGAUAUUACAGAGUCAGCUCCAGGAGCGAACAGCUGAAAAUGUCAAGAAGUCCACACGGAUCAGAGACCUGGAGGCAGAAAAGUCUCAGCUGAUCCAAGAAAAAGAGGAACUGAUGAGCAAAAUGAGUGAAAGUGAGCAUGAGAUGAAAGAGAGGUGCUGCCAGCUCAGGGAAUCUUUGGACGUCUUGCGAAUGGAAAAACAGAAACUGCAGGAUCAGUGUUUGUGUUUGGAGGCGAAACUUAAAAAUGAUGCAGUGAGAGUCCAAACCGUGGAGGAACUAAAAGCUGUGGCUUCGCAUUGGACAGAGAAAUGGCAGCAAGCGGCUUCAGCCCUGCAGACCCUCGAAGGGAGCAACUGCAGGAAUGACAAGGAGUCUGAUUUGUUGCUGACGGCUGAGCUUGAGGCACACAAACAGCAACUGGAGCUGGACAGAAGCCGGAGUCAGACCCCGCUGCACUCAUUUCAUAAGUAUAAAGGUAACCGUGCAUUCAAUUCUGUCUGCAGAUCCGCUCGGCUACCGUAGAUUAAUAAAAUUCUGUGCCCCAGAUGAUAUUUUAUAUAAUUUUAUUCUUCACACGAGUCAAACCAAUGUAAUGUUUGCAGCUGGUGAGGCUCAGGACAAGAACACACAGACGGAGUGAGUGGGUUGUGAUGAGAUUUUCAUUUUCAAAAUGCUUCAUCAGCAAAUGCUCAAAAUGAAAUUCUGUUAUCUGUGUCUCUGUCCACUCAUCAGCUUAUCAGAAUCCUCUUUGUCAUGGGAGUCACCACCAGAUCACCAGAGCAGCCACAACAAAUACACUCAGGUGACAAUGAACACUCAACAUGUGACAGUAAGUUGUAGAACGUUAACUCUCCUCCUGUGUGAUUAACAGGUGUUCAUGGAAAACCCUGAGCUCCAAUGGUUAAAGGUGGAACUUGCAGAAAAAGAGAAACUGCUGAAGGAAAAGACAGAAGCAUUGAUGAGUUUAGAAACGCUGAGAGAGACGGAAAAAAACGAGGCUCGAAUCAGGAUCUGUGCUUUGGAGCUCCAGGUCGGGGAAAAGACCUCUAAAGAGCUUCAUGAUGAUGUUUGGACCACGGACUCGCUGAAGGCCCAGCUAGAAGGUACGAGCGUCGUCUGGCAAAGGCUCGUGUUGGUAACAUAUGAGCGGUCCUCACUGUCUGUCCCGACAUACUGCAUGCUUUCAGAGAGCAGGAGGAGGAUGAGCCAGCUGCAGCAGGAAAAAAUGCUGGCGGUCCAAAGGCUUCAGACCCUUCAACAGAUUUACCAGAUCAAAGCUGAAAAACAAUCUCUCGAAGGCAGUAAAGAAAAACCUUCAUGUCCUGCAGGUCUUGAAACUGACCAGCAGAGGAGGAUGAUCAACGAGCAGUUAAAGAAUCUGUUUAAAGAACGAGAAGAAAAAAAAGCAGGAAAGAUCGACAAUGCGGCAGCAGCAGCAGCAACUCAGACUGACUCUUUCUCACAUCAAGACCAAACCUACACACCUAAAGCCGUGAGAGUAAGCUCCUCUCCUCCAGAGCAAAAUCCACUGAUACAGACUUUAGCAGCUACAUCAAUAUUAACAUGCAUCUGCUCUUUAUUCAGACUCCUGUGGACAGGUGGAGCUGGCAGCUGA
Long non-coding RNA from Betta splendens (Siamese fighting fish), 2503 nucleotides. The record is from Ensembl. Lineage: Eukaryota; Metazoa; Chordata; Actinopteri; Anabantiformes; Osphronemidae.